AGUCGAACGGCAGCACGGGGGCAACCCUGGUGGCGAGUGGCGAACGGGUGAGUAAUACAUCGGAACGUGUCCUGUAGUGGGGGAUAGCCCGGCGAAAGCCGGAUUAAUACCGCAUACGCUCUACGGAGGAAAGGGGGGGAUCUCAGGACCUCCCGCUACAGGGGCGGCCGAUGGCAGAUUAGCUAGUUGGUGGGGUAAAGGCCUACCAAGGCGACGAUCUGUAGCUGGUCUGAGAGGACGACCAGCCACACUGGGACUGAGACACGGCCCAGACUCCUACGGGAGGCAGCAGUGGGGAAUUUUGGACAAUGGGCGAAAGCCUGAUCCAGCAAUGCCGCGUGUGUGAAGAAGGCCUUCGGGUUGUAAAGCACUUUUGUCCGGAAAGAAAACCUCCGCCCUAAUAUGGUGGGGGGAUGACGGUACCGGAAGAAUAAGCACCGGCUAACUACGUGCCAGCAGCCGCGGUAAUACGUAGGGUGCAAGCGUUAAUCGGAAUUACUGGGCGUAAAGCGUGCGCAGGCGGUCCGCUAAGACAGAUGUGAAAUCCCCGGGCUUAACCUGGGAACUGCAUUUGUGACUGGCGGGCUAGAGUAUGGCAGAGGGGGGUAGAAUUCCACGUGUAGCAGUGAAAUGCGUAGAGAUGUGGAGGAAUACCGAUGGCGAAGGCAGCCCCCUGGGCCAAUACUGACGCUCAUGCACGAAAGCGUGGGGAGCAAACAGGAUUAGAUACCCUGGUAGUCCACGCCCUAAACGAUGUCAACUAGUUGUUGGGGAUUCAUUUCCUUAGUAACGUAGCUAACGCGUGAAGUUGACCGCCUGGGGAGUACGGUCGCAAGAUUAAAACUCAAAGGAAUUGACGGGGACCCGCACAAGCGGUGGAUGAUGUGGAUUAAUUCGAUGCAACGCGAAAAACCUUACCUACCCUUGACAUGUAUGGAACCCUGCUGAGAGGUGGGGGUGCCCGAAAGGGAGCCAUAACACAGGUGCUGCAUGGCUGUC
This 999-nucleotide ribosomal RNA is filed under the name Paraburkholderia sediminicola. Its description in RNAcentral is "bacterial SSU rRNA". It matches the Rfam family "Bacterial small subunit ribosomal RNA", at positions 60 to 1053 of the family's 1533-position model. The record is from RNAcentral. Lineage: Bacteria; Pseudomonadati; Pseudomonadota; Betaproteobacteria; Burkholderiales; Burkholderiaceae.